UACGGAGGGUGCAAGCGUUAUCCGGAUUCACUGGGUUUAAAGGGUGCGUAGGUGGGUCUGUAAGUCCGUGGUGAAAUCUCCGAGCUUAACUUGGAAACUGCCAUGGAUACUAUAGGUCUUGAAUACUGUGGGGGUCAGCGGAAUAUGUCAUGUAGCGGUGAAAUGCUUAGAUAUGACAUAGAACACCAAUUGCGAAGGCAGCUGGCUACACAAAUAUUGACACUGAGGCACGAAAGCGUGGGGAUCAAACAGG
This 253-nucleotide ribosomal RNA is filed under the name uncultured bacterium. RNAcentral describes it as "partial 16S ribosomal RNA". It matches the Rfam family "Bacterial small subunit ribosomal RNA", at positions 524 to 776 of the family's 1533-position model. The record is from RNAcentral.